RNAcentral lists this ribosomal RNA (461 nucleotides) under uncultured bacterium. RNAcentral describes it as "bacterial SSU rRNA". It matches the Rfam family "Bacterial small subunit ribosomal RNA", at positions 34 to 507 of the family's 1533-position model. The record is from RNAcentral.
CGCUGGCGGCAUGCCUAAUACAUGCAAGUCGAACGCGACCAGCCGGUGCUUGCACUGGCGAAGUCGAGUGGCGAACGGGUGAGUAACACGUGAGAAACCUACCCUGGAGUGGGGAAUAACUCGAAGAAAUUCGAGCUAAUACCGCAUACCUUCUUACCGUCGAAUGGUGGUUUGAAGAAAGAUUUAUCGCUCUGGGAGGGUCUCGCGGCCUAUCAGCUAGUUGGUGAGGUAACGGCUCACCAAGGCAUCGACGGGUAGCUGGUCUGAGAGGACGAUCAGCCACACUGGAACUGAGACACGGUCCAGACUCCUACGGGAGGCAGCAGUAGGGAAUCUUGCGCAAUGGGCGAAAGCCUGACGCAGCAAUGCCGCGUGCGGGACGAAGGCCCUAGGGUCGUAAACCGCUUUCAGUAGGGACGAAAAUGACGGUACCUGCAGAAGAAGCUCCGGCCAACUACGUG